Molecule: long non-coding RNA, 665 nt
Organism: Magnolia sinica
Lineage: Eukaryota; Viridiplantae; Streptophyta; Magnoliopsida; Magnoliales; Magnoliaceae
Exons: 4
Source: RefSeq, a predicted model, not a curated record
AAUGGGCAUGGCCAAUGCGGCUAUACUGUAACUGAUUUUCAAAACCAAAUAGGUAUGGAUCUUCAAAACACAAGGAUCAAUGAAAUUAGCCGAACAAGCAGUUAUUUAGGUUGUCCAUGUUAAAUCUAUAUUCUGCAUUCUUAUUGUCUUUCAUUGAGCUAUUUGCUUGCAGGCAAUCAUUUACAAUGCAUUUGCUCCAUCUUAUGAUAUCAUGGGCUGUUGUUUGUGAUGUGUGCUACUUGGAACUUCAAAAUCUAAAACCUGGCAAGACGCCAAUAGAAUUUGCAGAAAGGCAACAAAUCUUUGCAGAGACGGUGCUGCGAUGUCUCAAGGAAAAAUGAAGAAAAAUCAGGCUCGUUCUUUUCUUCCAAGAAUAUUUUCAUCCAAAGAGAAGACCAUAAGCCAAACCGACGAAGAUUCAUUCGAUUCUUCCGAUUGCAAAACUGCCUUUUCUCUUCAAUUCAAGAACGCGCUAAAUUUUCCAAAUGCCCCUCUGCUAGAUCCAUAAUUCAUGUUGGUUUUCUAAGGAAAUCAGUACCCAACAUUCGAAAUUUUUUCGGGCAAGUUUACCUAAUGAUUUAUUAAUUCGAGAAUUUAAAAAUUGCAUUGAUUUUUAGUGGUGGAUAAGGUAUUUCAAUGAAAGAUAGAGACAUCUGAAUUUCUCU